This 385-nucleotide long non-coding RNA is filed under the name Fragaria vesca (wild strawberry). RNAcentral's name for it is "long non-coding RNA (FVES_LNC004012)". Lineage: Eukaryota; Viridiplantae; Streptophyta; Magnoliopsida; Rosales; Rosaceae. The record is from RNAcentral.
UAAAGUUUGCUACACUCUUUUGACGUAAUUAAGUUUUGGAAAUGUGAAGCCGGGUGAUUAGUACUACCCCGUGCUUAAGUGAAUUACUGGUAAAAGUGUUUUGUGAUUUGUGAAGUUAGCCAGGGCCUUAGUCCCUACAGAUAGUGUACUAUUAUACUCAUAGGAAGAAAGUGUCGACCUUGAGUAUACAUACUCUGGUAUUGUCCUUGGUAUGCUGCGGCUUAUCCGUGCUUUGGUAUAGUGGACCUAGCAUGUGAUCUUUGUGAUUUAUUACCAGUUUCCUAAACAUUCACAUGGAUAAAUUUAUUCACGCUUGUAUAUGUGUGUGUGUGUGUGUGCGCGCAUAAAUAAGAAUCAGUAUGAACAAAUCAAAAUGAUUCUUGGU